This 295-nucleotide unclassified non-coding RNA is filed under the name fungal sp. Its description in RNAcentral is "partial internal transcribed spacer region". The stretch from base 1 to 46 matches the Rfam family "Eukaryotic small subunit ribosomal RNA", at positions 1786 to 1831 of the family's 1831-position model. The record is from RNAcentral. Lineage: Eukaryota; Fungi.
AAGUCGUAACAAGGUUUCCGUAGGUGAACCUGCGGAAGGAUCAUUACCGAGCGUGUCUUUCGGCUUUUCGAAAGACUCCUCCCACCCUUGUGUAUCAUGAUGCUGAUAAGCAGCUUCGGCGGGCCGUUUGGCGGGAUCUAUCGAUUCUAUUGGGAUUGAUGGAGACCAAAGAACAUCGGCCUCUGAGCGGAUCUGUGUCCGCCGAAGGAACACCCAACUCCUGAUGAUUUUGAAGUCUGAAAAAAAAAAACUUGAUAAUAAAUCAAAACUUUCAACAACGGAUCUCUUGGUUCUG